AGCAGCCGCGGUAAUUCCAGCUCCAAUAGCGUAUAUUAAAGUUGUUGCAGUUAAAAAGCUCGUAGUUGAAUUUCGGGAUCAGUUGAUCGGUCGUGCCUCGGUACGUACUGGUCAAAUUGAUUCCUACCUUCUGACGAACCACGAUGUCAUUAAUUUGGUGUCGUGGGAAAUCAGGACUGUUACUUUGAAAAAAUUAGAGUGUUUAAAGCAGGCUCGCGCUUGAAUACAUUAGCAUGGAAUAAUGAAAUAGGACGUUUGAUUCUAUUUUGUUGGUUUCUAGGAUCGACGUAAUGAUUAAUAGGGAUAGUUGGGGGCAUUAGUAUUCAAUUGUCAGAGGUGAAAUUCUUGGAUUUAUUGAAGACUAACUACUGCGAAAGCAUUUGCCAAGGAUGUUUUCAUUAAUCAAGAACGAAAGUUAGGGGAUCGAAGACGAUCAGAUACCGUCGUAGUCUUAACCAUAAACCAUGCCGACUAGGGAUCGGAUGAUGUUAAUUUUUUAAUGACUCAUUCGGCGCCUUAC
This 520-nucleotide unclassified non-coding RNA is filed under the name uncultured Glomus. Its description in RNAcentral is "SSU rRNA". It matches the Rfam family "Eukaryotic small subunit ribosomal RNA", at positions 569 to 1091 of the family's 1831-position model. Lineage: Eukaryota; Fungi; Glomeromycota; Glomeromycetes; Glomerales; Glomeraceae. The record is from RNAcentral.